Molecule: ribosomal RNA, 443 nt
Filed under: uncultured bacterium
Lineage: Bacteria
Description: partial 16S ribosomal RNA
Rfam family: Bacterial small subunit ribosomal RNA
Source: RNAcentral
CCUACGGGAGGCAGCAGUGGGGAAUAUUGGGCAAUGGGCGCAAGCCUGACCCAGCAACGCCGCGUGAAGGAAGAAGGCUUUCGGGUUGUAAACUUCUUUUCUGAGGGACGAAGAAAGUGACGGUACCUCAGGAAUAAGCCACGGCUAACUACGUGCCAGCAGCCGCGGUAAUACGUAGGUGGCAAGCGUUAUCAGGAUUUAUUGGGUGUAAAGGGCGUGUAGGCGGGAAAGCAAGUCAGAUGUUAAAACUCAGGGCUCAACCCUUGGGCUGCAUUUGAAACUGUUUUUCUUGAGUGCUGGAGAGGGAAUCGGAAUUCCGUGUGUAGCAGUGAAAUGCGUAGAUAUACGGAGGAACACCAGUGGCGAAGGCGGAGUGCUGGACAGUAACUGACGCUGAGGCGCGAAAGCGUGGGGAGCAAACAGGAUUAGAUACCCUGGUAGUC